RNAcentral lists this ribosomal RNA (442 nucleotides) under uncultured bacterium. RNAcentral describes it as "partial 16S ribosomal RNA". It matches the Rfam family "Bacterial small subunit ribosomal RNA", at positions 338 to 795 of the family's 1533-position model. The record is from RNAcentral.
CCUACGGGCGGCAGCAGUGGGGAAUAUUGGGCAAUGGACGCAAGUCUGACCCAGCAACGCCGCGUGAAGGAAGAAGGCUUUCGGGUUGUACACUUCUUUUAAGGGGGAAGAGCAGAAGACGGUAACCCUUGAAUCAGCCACGGCUAACUACGUGCCAGCCGCCGCGGUAAUACGUAGGUGGCAAGCGUUGUCCGGAUUUACUGGGUGUAAAGGGCGUGCAGCCGGCGGGACAAGUCAGAUGUGAAAUCCCCGGGCUCAACCCGGGAACUGCUUUUGAAACUGUUGACCUUGAGUGUCGGAGAGGUAAUCGGAAUUCCUAGUGUAGCGGUGAAAUGCGUAGAUAUUAGGAAGAACACCAGUGGCGAAGGCGGAUUACUGGACGAUAACUGACGGUGAGGCGCGAAAGCGUGGGGAGCAAACAGGAUUAGAUACCCGGGUAGUC